UUCUAUUUGUCAUUAUAAAUAGUUUAUCCUGCUCAAUGAUAUAUUUAUAAAUAGCCGCAAUUUCUUUGUGCUAAGGUAGCAUAAUAAUUAGCUUUUUAAUUAAAAGAUAGAAUGAAAGGACAAACGUCUUAACAAUUUUUCCUAAUUUAUAUAAUAAAAUUAACUAAAAAGUAAAAAAACUUUUAUAUAAAAGAAGGACAAUAAGACCCUAUAGAACUUUAAUUAUUAUUUUUACUGGGGCAGUAAAAAAUCAUAUCUUUUAAAUAAAUACUUAUGAAGACCUAAUAUAAUUAAUUAUUAAAACAAGCUACCUUAGGGAUAACAGCGUUAUAAUACUUUACAGCUCCUAUUUAAAGUAAAUUUUACGACCUCGAUGUUGAAUAAUUUAACUUCAUUAAGCAAAAUCAAUCAAAGUAAGUCUGUUCGACUUUUAAAAAAUUACA
RNAcentral lists this ribosomal RNA (443 nucleotides) under Loxosceles deserta. Its description in RNAcentral is "partial 16S ribosomal RNA". The record is from RNAcentral. Lineage: Eukaryota; Metazoa; Arthropoda; Arachnida; Araneae; Sicariidae.